Molecule: ribosomal RNA, 589 nt
Filed under: uncultured bacterium
Lineage: Bacteria
Description: bacterial SSU rRNA
Rfam family: Bacterial small subunit ribosomal RNA
Source: RNAcentral
AGAGUUUGAUCCUGGCUCAGAACGAACGCUGGCGGCAUGCCUAACACAUGCAAGUCGAACGAGACCUUCGGGUCUAGUGGCGCACGGGUGCGUAACGCGUGGGAACCUGCCUUUAGGUUCGGAAUAACAGUGAGAAAUUACUGCUAAUACCGGAUAAUGUCUUCGGACCAAAGAUUUAUCGCCUUUAGAUGGGCCCGCGUUGGAUUAGCUAGUUGGUGGGGUAAAGGCCUACCAAGGCGACGAUCCAUAGCUGGUCUGAGAGGAUGAUCAGCCACACUGGGACUGAGACACGGCCCAGACUCCUACGGGAGGCAGCAGUGGGGAAUAUUGGACAAUGGGCGAAAGCCUGAUCCAGCAAUGCCGCGUGAGUGAUGAAGGCCUUAGGGUUGUAAAGCUCUUUUACUGGGGAUGAUAAUGACAGUACCCAGAGAAUAAGCUCCGGCUAACUCCGUGCCAGCAGCCGCGGUAAUACGGAGGGAGCUAGCGUUGUUCGGAAUUACUGGGCGUAAAGCGCACGUAGGCGGCUUUUUAAGUCAGGGGUGAAAUCCCGGGGCUCAACCCCGGAACUGCCCUUGAAACUGGGAAGCUA